UCGGGAAUUUUGGGCAAUGGGCGAAAGCCUGACCCAGCAACGCCGCGUGAAGGAUGAAGUAUUUCGGUAUGUAAACUUUCGAAAGAAUAGGAAGAAUAAAUGACGGUACUAUUUAUAAGGUCCGGCUAACUACGUGCCAGCAGCCGCGGUAAUACGUAGGGACCAAGCGUUGUUCGGAUUUACUGGGCGUAAAGGGCGCGUAGGCGGCAAUUCAAGUCAUCUGUGAAAUCUCCGGGCUUAACUCGGAACGGUCAGAUGAUACUGCUUUGCUAGAGUGCAGAAGGGGCAAUCGGAAUUCUUGGUGUAGCGGUGAAAUGCGUAGAUAUCAAGAGGAACACCUGAGGUGAAGACGGGUUGCUGGGCUGACACUGACGCUGAGGCGCGAAAGCCAGGGGAGCAAACGGAAUUAGAUACCCCCGUAGUCCCUGAGCGGGCUGGCAAGGCGCAU
This 448-nucleotide ribosomal RNA is filed under the name uncultured bacterium. Its description in RNAcentral is "bacterial SSU rRNA". It matches the Rfam family "Bacterial small subunit ribosomal RNA", at positions 355 to 825 of the family's 1533-position model. The record is from RNAcentral.